UUUAAGUGGCGAGUUUGAUCCUGGCUCAGAAUGAACGCUGGCGGCGUGCCUAACACAUGCAAGUCGUACGAGAAAUCCCGAGCUUGCUUGGGAGAGUAAAGUGGCGCACGGGUGAGUAACGCGUGGGUAACCCACCUUCGAAUCUGGGAUAACUCCGCGAAAGCGGUGCUAAUACCGGAUAAGACCACAGCCGUUUCGGCGGCAGAGGUAAAAGCUGACCUCUCCAUGGAAGUUAGCGUUCGAGGACGGGCCCGCGUCCUAUCAGCUUGUUGGUGGGGUAAAGGCCUACCAAGGCAGCGACGGGUAGCUGGUCUGAGAGGAUGAUCAGCCACACUGGAACUGGAACACGGUCCAGACUCCUACGGGAGGCAGCAGUGAGGAAUUUUGCGCAAUGGGGGAAACC
Molecule: ribosomal RNA, 403 nt
Filed under: Desulfobacteraceae bacterium
Lineage: Bacteria; Pseudomonadati; Thermodesulfobacteriota; Desulfobacteria; Desulfobacterales; Desulfobacteraceae
Description: bacterial SSU rRNA
Rfam family: Bacterial small subunit ribosomal RNA
Source: RNAcentral